This 648-nucleotide ribosomal RNA is filed under the name uncultured bacterium. RNAcentral describes it as "bacterial SSU rRNA". It matches the Rfam family "Bacterial small subunit ribosomal RNA", at positions 110 to 753 of the family's 1533-position model. The record is from RNAcentral.
GUAAUGCUUAGGAAUCUGCCUAUUAGUGGGGGACAACAUCUCGAAAGGGAUGCUAAUACCGCAUACGUCCUACGAGAGAAAGCAGGGGACCUUCGGGCCUUGCGCUAAUAGAUGAGCCUAAGUCGGAUUAGCUAGUUGGUGGGGUAAAGGCCUACCAAGGCGACGUUCUGUAGCGGGUCUGAGAGGAUGAUCCGCCACACUGGGACUGAGACACGGCCCAGACUCCUACGGGAGGCAGCAGUGGGGAAUAUUGGACAAUGGGGGGAACCCUGAUCCAGCCAUGCCGCGUGUGUGAAGAAGGCCUUUUGGUUGUAAAGCACUUUAAGCGAGGAGGAGGCUACCGAGAUUAAUACUCUUGGAUAGUGGACGUUACUCGCAGAAUAAGCACCGGCUAACUCUGUGCCAGCAGCCGCGGUAAUACAGAGGGUGCAAGCGUUAAUCGGAUUUACUGGGCGUAAAGCGCGCGUAGGUGGCCAAUUAAGUCAAAUGUGAAAUCCCCGAGCUUAACUUGGGAAUUGCAUUCGAUACUGGUUGGCUAGAGUAUGGGAGAGGAUGGUAGAAUUCCAGGUGUAGCGGUGAAAUGCGUAGAGAUCUGGAGGAAUACCGAUGGCGAAGGCAGCCAUCUGGCCUAAUACUGACACUGAGGUG